GUCUACGGCCAUGCUACCCUGAACAAGCCCAAUCUGUCUGAUCUCGGAAGCUAAGCAGGGUCGGGCCUGGUUAGUACUUGGAUGGGAGACCACCUAGGAAGACCAGGUACUGUAGGCA
Pteropus alecto (black flying fox) is the source of this 118-nucleotide non-coding RNA. The record is from Rfam. Lineage: Eukaryota; Metazoa; Chordata; Mammalia; Chiroptera; Pteropodidae.